Molecule: ribosomal RNA, 253 nt
Filed under: uncultured bacterium
Lineage: Bacteria
Description: partial 16S ribosomal RNA
Rfam family: Bacterial small subunit ribosomal RNA
Source: RNAcentral
UACGGAGGGGACUAGCGUUGUUCGGAAUUACUGGGCGUAAAGAGUACGUAGGCUGUUGAUCAAGUUGGGUGUGAAAGCCCGGGGCUCAACCCCGGAACUGCACUCAAAACUGGUCAGCUAGAGAUCGGAAGAGGUAAGUGGAAUUCCCAGUGUAGAGGUGAAAGUCGUAGAUAUUGGGAAGAACACCGGUGGCGAAGGCGACUUACUGGUCCGAUACUGACGCUGAGGUACGAAAGCGUGGGGAGCAAACAGG